This 320-nucleotide long non-coding RNA is filed under the name Coturnix japonica (Japanese quail). RNAcentral describes it as "lncRNA (ENSCJPG00005011644.1)". Lineage: Eukaryota; Metazoa; Chordata; Aves; Galliformes; Phasianidae. The record is from RNAcentral.
UGAAACAUUGGAGACAUUUAUUUUGGCCUCUCCUACUGCUCUGAACAAAACAAUUAUGAGAUAAGGGAGGCAAGAACAGGAGGAAAUUCUUUCAUUUUUCACAUUGGAAGUCCAAAGGAUCCAAUGGUCUGUUUAUGAGGAAGAAUAAAGAAGAUACACGAACUCAGUGAAGUUGUUGUUACAAACACAUAGGUCCAUUUUGAAAGGUGCCAUGGAUGGGCCAGAGACAGAGCUGCCGGUGCGAUUCACUGCAUUACCAGACUGGCCUCUGUUGUCAGUGGGAACAAGUGUCUUUGUCAUGUUUGAAGAAAUCCUGGGAG